AGAGUUGAUUAUGGCUCAGGAUGAACGCUAGCUACAGGCUUAACACAUGCAAGUCGAGGGGCAGCAUGGGAGUAGCUUGCUACUCCUGAUGGCGACCGGCGGAUGGGUGCGCAACGCGUGUCCAACCUGCCCCAGUCCCGGGGGAUAGCCCUUGGAAACGAGGAUUAACACCCGAUGGUGCUGCAUAGCCGCAUGGCUUAGCAGCUAAAUUGCGAGGACUGGGAUGGGGACGCGUACCAUUAGGUAGUCGGCGGGGUAACGGCCCACCGAGCCGACGAUGGUUAGGGGUUCUGAGAGGAAGGUCCCCCACACUGGAACUGAGACACGGUCCAGACUCCUACGGGAGGCAGCAGUGAGGAAUAUUGGUCAAUGGCGGAGACGCUGAACCAGCCAAGUAGCGUGCAGGAUGACGGCCCUACGGGUUGUAAACUGCUUUUAUGCGGGGAUAAAAGAAGGGACGUGUCCCUUAUUGCAGGUACCGCAUGAAUAAGGACCGGCUAAUUCCGUGCCAGCCGCUGC
RNAcentral lists this ribosomal RNA (519 nucleotides) under uncultured bacterium. RNAcentral's name for it is "bacterial SSU rRNA". It matches the Rfam family "Bacterial small subunit ribosomal RNA", at positions 8 to 518 of the family's 1533-position model. The record is from RNAcentral.